UAUGCAGUCUGUUAGAGACGCUUAGAAUUCCGGCAGUAACCGGCAACGCUGGCACAGGGACGUGCCAGCGAGGCACAUCUUAAGCAUGGAUGCGAAUAUGUGCCGGGUGCCGGAAGAUACGGAAACUUUAACGGAAUUCUUAGCGUCUCUUUCAGACGGAAUGU
This is a regulatory RNA element of Roseburia sp. CAG:45, 164 nucleotides long. The record is from Rfam. NCBI's taxonomy places the organism in Bacteria, Bacillati, Bacillota, Clostridia, Lachnospirales, Lachnospiraceae.